Molecule: long non-coding RNA, 331 nt
Organism: Notothenia coriiceps (black rockcod)
Lineage: Eukaryota; Metazoa; Chordata; Actinopteri; Perciformes; Nototheniidae
Exons: 3
Source: RefSeq, a predicted model, not a curated record
GGGCAGAGAGGUAUUCGACUGGAUCCUGGACCAAGGCUACUACUCAGAGCGAGACACCAGCAACGUGGUGCGCCAGGUGCUGGAGGCCGUGGCCUACCUCCACUCCCUGCACAUCGUCCACAGAAACCUCAAGUUGGAGAACUUGGUGUACUUCAAUCGCCUGAAGCACUCUAAAAUAGUCAUCAGUGACUUCCAUCUUGCCAAGCUGGAGAACGGACUCAUCAAAGACCCCUGCGGGACACCAGAGUACCUGGCUCCAGAAGUGGUUGGCAGACAGCGGUAUGGCCAACCUGUGGACUGCUGGGCAACAGGUGUCAUCAUGUACAUACUG